CCCAUGUGUUGUGGGAGAUAAUUGAAUCACGGGGGCAGUUUCCCCCGAUCUGUUCUUGUGGUAGUGAAUAAGUCUCACAGGAUCUGAUGAUUUCAUAAGGGGUUUCCCCUUUCACUUGGCUCUCAUGCUCUCUUGUCUGCUACCACCUAAGACGUGCCUUUCGCCUUCCACCAUGAUUGUGAGGCCUCCCCAGUCACGUGGAACUGACUUACUUGGUUUGUGUUUGGGCAUCCAACACAUCGUCUUACCACUGCAGUCCAUGAAAAGUGCACUGACAAGAACAUUGGGAUCUCCAGGUAGUUGUUUCUACCCAGGAAGAGACGAGGGAAGACCACCAAAGCAGUGUGGUAGCCGGGAAAUUACAGAUAAGGAUCAUGGCCCUGUUCAGUUUCUUCAUCCACCACCCAUGAAGAGGCAUCGCCUAAGAAGCUGUGAUUCUGUUUCACCCAUGUGAACAAGGCAAUCCUCAGGAGGUCCAAAAGCAGCUAGAAGAACAUAGACCCCUGGAGAACUUUGUGGAGAAGGGCUUCUAGAAGUCUCUGGUUUGCCCUUCAACAGCACAUUUAUAUGACAAAGAAAAUUUUCUAUCUUGCUUAAUCAUUGUUACUUGGUCUUUAUGGUACUAAUCAAAUAAACAUCCUAACUGAAAAAAAUCAGAGUAGAAUUAAGGACUGAUAACUAAAGGGGGGCCAAAGUUUACACACACCUACCUAGAUUAUUCCGAGAGUCUUUUGACUGAUUUUACUGUUUUUGGUCUUGUCCCUGUUCAAUGCAUUCUCCAUAUUAUAACUAUAAUCUAAGACAUAAUCUGGUUAUACUACCUGCCUAUUAAGAAACCACUGCCUAGAGUUGAGUUGUAUUGUCUAAUAAAGUAGCCACUAAAAUUCAGUAAAAAUUCAUUAGUACUAGCCACAUUUCAAGUGGUUUUUUUUUUUUUUUUUGAGGCAGGGUCUAUUUCUGUCUCCCAGACUGGAGUGCAGUGGCGCAAAUACAGCUUACUGAUGCCUCGACCUCCCAGGCUCAAGCGAUCCUCCCACCUCAGCCUCCCAAGUAGCUGGGACUACAGGGGCAUGCCA
Molecule: long non-coding RNA, 1076 nt
Filed under: Homo sapiens (human)
Lineage: Eukaryota; Metazoa; Chordata; Mammalia; Primates; Hominidae
Description: HSALNT0333446
Source: RNAcentral